UUAGUGAAAACAAUUGGUAUCUGCUCCAGGAUCGAUUUGUGGUCUAGUCUUUUUACGAAGUUUGAACUACAAGGCCACAAAUCCGAGCUUUCAAUCAAAAUUUUUCGUUUUUAAACGUCUUUAAAAAACUUAAAUUCUCAAUUAUGUGAAGGCCGGAGAAACAGUUUUACGAUUAACUCAAUUCAUUACAAGAGGUUUCCGUGAAAAAACCGUGGCUGAUGUCACCGUAUUCUUGAAUCACAAAAUAUUUCAGGCGUAUAAAAACAAGUCUACUAUAAAUUUACAGCUCCGCGGCGCGGCUCGACUCAAACACUCGUCUUUGUGUGCGUCUUCUGUGACGCGGGCACAAGCGACCUAUCGAAUGGCGAAUACAAUUAUUUAUUUUACAUUGUAUUUGAACUGCGAACCCACGUUCCUAUUCUAUGAAGCAACGCGUCCUGAACGAUCAGCCAACAUCUUCAGAUCUGUUAACGAAUGUACGACCACUGUCGUAUCGUCGACGAAACAUCUCAGUAAUAUUAUUUGCAGCGACUUUAUAAUGAAGACUAGCGGCCCGCUCCGGCUCCGCUCAGGUCAACAAAAAUUUCAUGGAUA
Bombyx mori (domestic silkworm) is the source of this 594-nucleotide long non-coding RNA. RefSeq lists it as uncharacterized. NCBI's taxonomy places the organism in Eukaryota, Metazoa, Arthropoda, Insecta, Lepidoptera, Bombycidae. The record is from RefSeq and is a predicted model, not a curated record. The transcript has 2 exons.